CGGUGAAGGUCGGAGCUUGCUCCGACCGGAUCAGUGGCGAACGGGUGAGUAACACGUGAGUAACCUGCCCCAGACUCUGGAAUAACCCCGGGAAACCGGAGCUAAUACCGGAUACGAGACGGAGAGGCAUCUCUACCGUCUGGAAAGUUUUUCGGUCUGGGAUGGACUCGCGGCCUAUCAGCUAGUUGGUGAGGUAAUGGCUCACCAAGGCGACGACGGGUAGCCGGCCUGAGAGGGCGACCGGCCACACUGGGACUGAGACACGGCCCAGACUCCUACGGGAGGCAGCAGUGGGGAAUAUUGCACAAUGGGCGAAAGCCUGAUGCAGCGACGCCGCGUGAGGGAUGACGGCCUUCGGGUUGUAAACCUCUUUCAGCAGGGAAGAAGCGAAAGUGACGGUACCUGCAGAAGAAGCACCGGCUAACUACGUGCCAGCAGCCGCGGUAAUACGUAGGGUGCGAGCGUUGUCCGGAAUUAUUGGGCGUAAAGAGCUUGUAGGCGGUUUGUCGCGUCUGCCGUGAAAAUCCGGGGCUCAACCCCGGACUUGCGGUGGGUACGGGCAGACUAGAGUGUGGUAGGGGAGACUGGAAUUCCUGGUGUAGCGGUGAAAUGCGCAGAUAUCAGGAGGAACACCGAUGGCGAAGGCAGGUCUCUGGGCCACUACUGACGCUGAGAAGCGAAAGCGUGGGGAGCGAACAGGAUUAGAUACCCUGGUAGUCCACGCCGUAAACGUUGGGAACUAGGUGUGGGUCUCAUUCCACGAGAUCCGUGCCGCAGCUAACGCAUUAAGUUCCCCGCCUGGGGAGUAC
Molecule: ribosomal RNA, 809 nt
Filed under: Phycicoccus sp.
Lineage: Bacteria; Bacillati; Actinomycetota; Actinomycetes; Micrococcales; Intrasporangiaceae
Description: bacterial SSU rRNA
Rfam family: Bacterial small subunit ribosomal RNA
Source: RNAcentral